UAGGGAAUCUUCCACAAUGGACGCAAGUCUGAUGGAGCAACGCCGCGUGAGUGAAGAAGGUUUUCGGACCGUAAAGCUCUGUUGUUGGUGAAGAAGGAUAGAGGUAGUAACUGGCCUUUUAUUUGACGGUAAUCAACCAGAAAGUCACGGCUAACUACGUGCCAGCAGCCGCGGUAAUACGUAGGUGGCAAGCGUUGUCCGGAUUUAUUGGGCGUAAAGCGAGCGCAGGCGGAAGAAUAAGUCUGAUGUGAAAGCCCUCGGCUUAACCGAGGAAUUGCAUCGAAACUG
Molecule: ribosomal RNA, 288 nt
Filed under: uncultured bacterium
Lineage: Bacteria
Description: partial 16S ribosomal RNA
Rfam family: Bacterial small subunit ribosomal RNA
Source: RNAcentral